RNAcentral lists this ribosomal RNA (463 nucleotides) under uncultured bacterium. RNAcentral describes it as "partial 16S ribosomal RNA". It matches the Rfam family "Bacterial small subunit ribosomal RNA", at positions 28 to 507 of the family's 1533-position model. The record is from RNAcentral.
GAUGAACGCUGACAGAAUGCUUAACACAUGCAAGUCUUUGGCGAAGCUGUGCUUGCACAGCCUAGCCAAGGCGGACGGGUGAGUAACGCGUAAGGAACUUGCCCUGCAGUCAGGGAUAACAGACGGAAACGACUGAUAAGACCUGGUAAAGUCAGGCGGACUCAUGUCCAGCCUGAUGAAAAGAGAUGCUGCAGGAGAGCCUUGCGUCCUAUUAGCUUGUUGGUGGGGUAACGGCCCACCAAGGCGAUGAUAGGUAGCCGGCCUGAGAGGGUGGACGGCCACAAGGGGACUGAGAUACGGCCCUUACUCCUACGGGAGGCAGCAGUGGGGAAUAUUGGACAAUGGGGGCAACCCUGAUCCAGCAAUUCUGUGUGCACGAUGAAGGUUUUCGGAUUGUAAAGUGCUUUCAGCAGGGAAGAAAAAAAUGGCGGUACCUGCAGAAGAAGCGACGGCUAAAUACGUG